RNAcentral lists this ribosomal RNA (483 nucleotides) under Triticum aestivum (bread wheat). Its description in RNAcentral is "partial small subunit ribosomal RNA". The record is from RNAcentral. Lineage: Eukaryota; Viridiplantae; Streptophyta; Magnoliopsida; Poales; Poaceae.
AUGCCCAUUAUAUCCAUCAUCUGUCUUUUCUGCCUUUGGUUGGUGUUCUUACUGAAUAGGAUGGCUGACUUAUCCUUGUUUAUUACUUGGCCAGAGCAAACUUCAUACUUCUCCAGUAUAUCAUUAACUGCUUGGGCAUUCUUUUCAUUUGCUUCAAGGAGCAACAAUGAAUCGUCUGCAAAGAGCAAGUGGCUCACACUUGGCGCUUCUCUACAUAAUUUGAUUCCUUUCAAGCUACCAUUUCUUUCAGCAUCAUAUAACAAGGCAGAAAAACCUUCUGCGCAUAGUAGAAAUAAAUACGGUGAGAGUGGAUCACCCUGGCGUAAUCCUCUUUGGGGGAUGAUUACCUCAGUUGCAUCUUUGUUGACCUUGACUUGGUAUUUAACUGUUGACACGCACUUCAUCACUAGGUUGACCCAUUCUCUUUCAAAUCCCAGCUUGAGCAUCAUCUCUCUCAAAAAGUUUCAUUCAACUCGAUCGUAG